UUCCGGUUGAUCCUGCCGGACCCGACUGCUAUCAGAGUGGGACUAAGCCAUGCGAGUCAACAUAGCAAUAUGUGGCAUACGGCUCAGUAACACGUAGUCAACAUGCCCAGGGGACGUGGAUAACCUCGGGAAACUGAGGAUAAACCGCGAUAAGUCACUACUUCUGGAAUGGGUAAUGACUCAAACCUAUAUGGCCCCUGGAUUGGACUGCGGCCGAUCAGGCUGUUGGUGAGGUAAUGGCCCACCAAACCUGUAACCGGUACGGGCUCUGAGAGGAGGAGCCCGAAGAUGGGCACUGAGACAAGGGCCCAGGCCCUAUGGGGCGCAGCAUGCGCGAAACCUCUGCAAUAGGCGAAAGCUUGACAGGGUUACUCUGAGUGAUUUCCGUUAAGGAGAUCUUUUGGCACCUCUAAAAAU
This 417-nucleotide ribosomal RNA is filed under the name uncultured archaeon. RNAcentral describes it as "bacterial SSU rRNA". It matches the Rfam family "Archaeal small subunit ribosomal RNA", at positions 1 to 426 of the family's 1478-position model. The record is from RNAcentral.